ACGAACGCUGGCGGCGUGCCUAAUCCAUGCAAGUAGAACGCUGAAGAGAGGAGCUUGCUCUUCUUGGAUGAGUUGCGAACGGGUGAGUAACGCGUAGGUAACCUGCCUUGUAGCGGGGGAUAACUAUUGGAAACGAUAGCUAAUACCGCAUAACAAUGGAUGACACAUGUCAUUUAUUUGAAAGGGGCAAUUGCUCCACUACAAGAUGGACCUGCGUUGUAUUAGCUAGUAGGUGAGGUAAUGGCUCACCUAGGCGACGAUACAUAGCCGACCUGAGAGGGUGGUCGGCCACCCUGGGACUGAGACACGGCCCAGACUCCUACGGGAGGCAGCAGUAGGGAAUCUUCGGCAAUGGGGGCAACCCUGACCGAGCAACGCCGCGUGAGUGAAGAAGGUUUUCGGAUCGUAAAGCUCUGUUGUAAGUCAAGAACGGGUGUGAGAGUGGAAAGUUCACACUGUGACGGUAGCUUACCAGAAAGGGACGGCUAACUACGUG
RNAcentral lists this ribosomal RNA (496 nucleotides) under uncultured bacterium. Its description in RNAcentral is "partial 16S ribosomal RNA". It matches the Rfam family "Bacterial small subunit ribosomal RNA", at positions 29 to 507 of the family's 1533-position model. The record is from RNAcentral.